RNAcentral lists this ribosomal RNA (494 nucleotides) under uncultured bacterium. RNAcentral's name for it is "partial 16S ribosomal RNA". It matches the Rfam family "Bacterial small subunit ribosomal RNA", at positions 28 to 507 of the family's 1533-position model. The record is from RNAcentral.
GACGAACGCUGGCGGCGUGCUUAACACAUGCAAGUCGAACGGAAAGGCCUGCUUUCCCUUGUGGAUUGCGGGUACUCGAGUGGCGAACGGGUGAGUAACACGUGAGUGAUCUGCCCCCAACUUGGGUAUAAGCCUGGGAAACUGGGUCUAAUUCCCGAUAGGACUGCAGGGUGGUGCCUGUGGUGGAAAACGAUUUUCUAGUGGUUGGGGAUGAGCUCGCGGCCUAUCAGCUUGUUGGUGGGGUAAUGGCCUACCAAGGCGGCGACGGGUAGCCGGCCUGAGAGGGUGGACGGCCACAUUGGGACUGAGAUACGGCCCAGACUCCUACGGGAGGCAGCAGUGGGGAAUAUUGCACAAUGGGCGGAAGCCUGAUGCAGCGACGCCGCGUGGGGGAUGACGGCCUUCGGGUUGUAAACUCCUUUCGACCGCGAGGAAGCCACCUGGUUGGAAGGGUGGUGACGGUAGUGGUAGAAGAAGCACCGGCUAACUAUGUG